This 553-nucleotide ribosomal RNA is filed under the name Lucilia sericata (common green bottle fly). RNAcentral's name for it is "partial 16S ribosomal RNA". It matches the Rfam family "Bacterial large subunit ribosomal RNA", at positions 1797 to 2619 of the family's 2925-position model. Lineage: Eukaryota; Metazoa; Arthropoda; Insecta; Diptera; Calliphoridae. The record is from RNAcentral.
CGCCUGUUUAACAAAAACAUGUCUUUUUGAAUUUAAUUUAAAGUCUGACCUGCCCACUGAAAAAUUUUAAAUGGCCGCAGUAUACUAACUGUGCAAAGGUAGCAUAAUCAUUAGUCUUUUAAUUGAAGGCUGGUAUGAAUGGUUGGACGAAAUAUUAACUGUUUCAUGAAUAUUUAUAAUAGAAUUUUAUUUUUUAGUCAAAAAGCUAAAAUUUAUUUAAAAGACGAGAAGACCCUAUAAAUCUUUAUAUUUAUAUUAUUAUAAUUUUUUAGAUUUUUUUUAUUAUAAUAAUAAAUUAUAUUUUAUUGGGGUGAUAUUAAAAUUUAAUAAACUUUUAAUUGUUUAAAUCAUUAAUUUAUGAAUAAUUGAUCCGUUAUUAGCGAUUAAAAAAACAAGUUACUUUAGGGAUAACAGCGUAAUUUUUUUGGAGAGAACAUAUCGAUAAAAAAGAUUGCGACCUCGAUGUUGGAUUAAGAUAUAAUUUUAGGUGUAGCCGCUUAAAUUUUAAGUCUGUCCGACUUUUAAAUUCUUACGUGAUCUGAGUUCAGACCGG